Molecule: small nuclear RNA, 193 nt
Organism: Cygnus olor (mute swan)
Lineage: Eukaryota; Metazoa; Chordata; Aves; Anseriformes; Anatidae
Product: U2 spliceosomal RNA
Exons: 1
Source: RefSeq, a predicted model, not a curated record
UUUGCUUUUCGGCGUUUUGGGUGAGAUCGAGUGUAGUAUAGGUGUUUGUCAGGUUUAUGUUUGAUACGUUGACGGUGAGAGGACUUUUGUGUUAAACGGGGUUUUGGGCUCGGGAGUUGGGUCCAGAGCCUGAUUCCGUCGGUUCCGAGCAUCGUCCCGGUAUUGCAGCACUUACUGGAACGGUGCGUCUUUU